RNAcentral lists this ribosomal RNA (403 nucleotides) under uncultured bacterium. RNAcentral's name for it is "bacterial SSU rRNA". It matches the Rfam family "Bacterial small subunit ribosomal RNA", at positions 391 to 785 of the family's 1533-position model. The record is from RNAcentral.
GCCAUGCCGCGUGUGUGAAGAAGGCCUUCUGGUUGUAAAGCACUUUAAGCGAGGAGGAAGCUACUGUAGUUAAUACCUUCAGAUAGUGGACGUUACUCGCAAAAAAACCACCGGCUAACUCUGUGCCACCAGCCGCGGUAAUACAAAGGGGGCAAGCGUUAAUCGGAUUUACUGGGCGUAAAGCGCGCGUAGGCGGUUAAUUAAGUCAAAUGUGAAAUCCCCGACCUUAACUUGGAAAUUGCAUUCGAAACUGGUUACCUAAAGUGUGGAAAAGGAGGGUGAAAUUCCAGGUGUACCGGUGAAAUGCGUAAAGAUCUGAAGAAAUACCGAUGGCAAAGGCAGCCCCCUGGCCUAACACUGACCCUAAGGUGCAAAAGCUGGGGAAGCAAACAGGAUUAAAUAC